Molecule: microRNA precursor, 74 nt
Filed under: Podarcis lilfordi (Lilford's wall lizard)
Lineage: Eukaryota; Metazoa; Chordata; Lepidosauria; Squamata; Lacertidae
Source: RNAcentral
UUAGCCGCACGCAGCCUCUCCCGGGCAAGGGGAACCUUCAUCCCCUGCCCGGGAGAGGCUGCGCGCGGCUAAGG